CGAAGCAACGCGAAGAACCUUACCUAAGCUUGACAUCCCAAUGACAUCUCCUUAAUCGGAGAGUUCCCUUCGGGGACAUUGGUGACAGGUGGUGCAUGGUUGUCGUCAGCUCGUGUCGUGAGAUGUUGGGUUAAGUCCCGCAACGAGCGCAACCCUUGUCUUUAGUUGCCAUCAUUAAGUUGGGCACUCUAGAGAGACUGCCAGGGAUAACCUGGAGGAAGGUGGGGAUGACGUCAAAUCAUCAUGCCCCUUAUGCUUAGGGCUACACACGUGCUACAAUGGGUAGUACAGAGGGUUGCCAAGCCGUAAGGUGGAGCUAAUCCCUUAAAGCUACUCUCAGUUCGGAUUGUAGGCUGAAACUCGCCUACAUGAAGCUGGAGUUACUAGUAAUCGCAGAUCAGAAUGCUGCGGUGAAUGCGUUCCCGGGUCUUGUACACACCGCAGCUCACACCGCGUGUGAUGGAGAGGCACGCAGCCGGUUAUCUCACCAGUUGGAAGAAGUCGUCGAAGGUGGACUCAAUACCUGCAGUGAAGUCGUAACAAGGUAGCCGUAUCGGAAGGUGCGGCUGGAUCAGCACCUUUCUAAGGA
This 589-nucleotide ribosomal RNA is filed under the name Clostridioides difficile. RNAcentral describes it as "bacterial SSU rRNA". It matches the Rfam family "Bacterial small subunit ribosomal RNA", at positions 952 to 1533 of the family's 1533-position model. Lineage: Bacteria; Bacillati; Bacillota; Clostridia; Peptostreptococcales; Peptostreptococcaceae. The record is from RNAcentral.